AGCGAACGCUGGCGGCAGGCUUAACACAUGCAAGUCGAGCGCCCCGCAAGGGGAGCGGCAGCCGGGAGGGUAACACGUGGGGACAUACCUUUUGGUUCGGAACAACUGAGGGAAACUUCAGCUAAUACCGGAUAAGCCCUUACGGGGAAAGAUUUAUCGCCGAAGGAUUGGCCCGCGUCUGAUUAGCUAGUUGGUGAGGUAACGGCUCACCAAGGCGACGAUCAGUAGCUGGUCUGAGAGGAUGAUCAGCCUCACUGGGACUGAGACACGGCCCAGACUCCUACGGGAGGCAGCAGUGGGGAAUAUUGGACAAUGGGGGCAACCCUGAUCCAGCCAUGCCGCGUGAGUGAUGAAGGCCUUAGGGUUGUAAAGCUCUUUUGCCCGGGAAGAUAAUGACGGUACCGGGAGAAUAAGCCCCGGCUAACUUCGUG
RNAcentral lists this ribosomal RNA (431 nucleotides) under uncultured bacterium. Its description in RNAcentral is "partial 16S ribosomal RNA". It matches the Rfam family "Bacterial small subunit ribosomal RNA", at positions 29 to 507 of the family's 1533-position model. The record is from RNAcentral.